AUGCGGCCACCGAGAGGCGGCGGAGGUUUCCGCGGACGCGGCGGCGACCGAGGUGGCCGCCUCGCUGGAGGCGGCCGCUUCGCUGGAGGCGGCCGCGGCGGCGGCGGCAGGGGCCGCUUCGGUGGAGGCGGCGGCGGGUUCCGCGACGAGGGCCCUCCUGCCGAGGUCGUCGAGGUGUCGACGUUCGUGCACGCCUGCGAGGGGGACGCGGUAACGAAGCUGACGAACGAGAAGGUGCCCUACUUCAACGCGCCCAUAUACCUCCAGAACAAGACCCAGAUCGGCAAAGUCGACGAGAUCUUCGGCCCCAUCAACGAAUCAUAUUUCUCGGUCAAGAUGUUCGAGGGAGUCAUUGCAACAUCUUACAAUGAAGGUGACAAGUUCUUCAUUGACCCCAUGAAGCUGCUGCCCCUCUCACGCUUCCUGCCACAGCCAAAGGGCUCGACUCCAAGAGGUGGUGGUCGCGGUGGAAGAGGUGGUGGUCGUGGUGGAUUUGGUGGCCGUGGUGGAUUCCGUGGAAGAGGUGCACCAAGGGGUCGCGGACCUCCCAGGGGUGGAGGGCGUGGUUUCAGAGGACGAGGCAGAUUCUAG
This 591-nucleotide ribosomal RNA is filed under the name Triticum aestivum (bread wheat). RNAcentral's name for it is "partial small subunit ribosomal RNA". The record is from RNAcentral. Lineage: Eukaryota; Viridiplantae; Streptophyta; Magnoliopsida; Poales; Poaceae.